CUUUCAGAUUGGCUAAUAUUGCCAAAAAGGAAAAUGAUAAAUGUUAGAGGGGAUGUAGGAAAAUUGGGACAAUAAUACACUAUUGGAAAUGUGAACUGAUAUAACCACUUUUGAGUGUAAUCUGGAACCACUCCCAAAGGGCCAUGAUACUAUGCACAACUAUUUGUGAAUUUUAAAAAGUCUCCAUCUUGGUCUAGCACCCAAAAUUGUGCACACCCACACUACACGGGCAUGUGCUAGUCAAUGACAAAUCAGAAAUAACUAACUGCCCACCUGGGCUGUCCUAAGCCAAGCUAGAGCCAACCAUUGGAUUUUGUGAGACACAGGAAGUGAGGUAGGGAGCAGCCUCUGGAAUUCGCUCACUUCCUGUGGGGAGAGGGAGAUGCCAGUUGGUGUUAGGAGGAGUUGGUGUUAGGAGCUUGGACAGAGAGGACGCCCGCAGACAGCUUUCCUUCAGAUGGGUCACUUCUUCAUUUUUUUAAGUGGAGGCUGAUGAAGAAUGUGCUGACUGGACCUGAGACUCCGUUUCCUGAAACACAAUGUCAAGGACGGUCCAAGCGGAUCCUAGAGGCGUUCCUCCACUCUGCAGGGUUUAUCAUGCCAACUAGAUGCCAAGCUCCCCCCCCCCUUCCUUCUUUUCCUGAAGGUGAAGAGUAUUUCGCCUCUUGGCUUCCUGUCCUCUCAAGAUGCUCGCAUAGCAUCAGUAUGCAGCUUUAA
This 717-nucleotide long non-coding RNA is filed under the name Monodelphis domestica (gray short-tailed opossum). RNAcentral's name for it is "lncRNA (ENSMODG00000051199.1)". Lineage: Eukaryota; Metazoa; Chordata; Mammalia; Didelphimorphia; Didelphidae. The record is from RNAcentral.